Long non-coding RNA from Raphanus sativus (radish), 577 nucleotides. RefSeq lists it as uncharacterized. The record is from RefSeq and is a predicted model, not a curated record. The transcript has 2 exons. NCBI's taxonomy places the organism in Eukaryota, Viridiplantae, Streptophyta, Magnoliopsida, Brassicales, Brassicaceae.
CAAUCAUAAAAUCCGACCCACCUAAAGCUAGAAAGAGGACGACCACGCCUAUUCCAUUGACGCCCUCCGACAAGAACAAACUGAGGAGGGGAGAGAGCGUAUUCGUCACUCUUUUUAUUUGUCUCUAGUUCUCGAGAUCUAGAAAGAUUGUGAUGAAUAGCCGCCAGGACGUGGAGUGGAGAGCCGCCGAAUCCUGAUUAUCAGUCGUACCUGCAGACCCAUCAGCAGCAACGGGAACAGUGGUUACGACACGCUCAUGAGUCCAGAAGACGACAUCGACGUCACUCUCUUAUCCUCAAGAAUUGGCGGCGACACAACUUACAGCAUCACCAGUUACUGUGUCAGCCAGGAGCUUAGCCUCGCUCAGAGCUUCCAAAUGCCAAGUUUGGAACUUUGAAACCAGGCAUCCGCCAGUUUCUAUCCCCUAUUUAGAAGAAAAUCUAAAGUUUCUUUUAUCUUUGACCAGAUUCUCUCGAAAUUCAUUUGCUUCCUACAUGGCGUCUUCUAGAUCUCUUCGUCCUGUCUCUGUUUUUGAACUAUAUAUAAAUAUAUAUUUAGGUUUACGUUUCUGUUUGCA